ACGGAGGGUGCAAGCGUUGUUCGGAUUUACUGGGCGUAAAGUGUGUCUAGGCGGAAAUGUAUGUCAGGUGUGAAAGACCCGGGCUCAACCCGGGAAAUGCGCCUGAAACUGCAUUUCUUGAGUUAUGGAGAGGUGAACAGAAUACCUAGUGUAGCAGUGAAAUGCGUAGAUAUUAGGUGGAACACCGGAGGCGAAGGCGGUUCACUGGCCAUAUACUGACGCUGAAGCACGAAAGCGUGGGGAGCAAACAGGAUUAGAUACCCUGGUAGUCCACGCUGUAAACGAUGGAUACUAGGUGUCGGAGGAAUUGACCCCUUCGGUACCGUCGCUAACGCAUUAAGUAUCCCGCCUGGGGAGUACGGUCGCAAGAUUA
This 373-nucleotide ribosomal RNA is filed under the name uncultured bacterium. RNAcentral describes it as "bacterial SSU rRNA". It matches the Rfam family "Bacterial small subunit ribosomal RNA", at positions 525 to 896 of the family's 1533-position model. The record is from RNAcentral.